GCCACAGCCUGGAGCAUCUCAGGACUUCAGCAACAUGAACUUGAAACGACAGGACUAGACUCUUAUAUUAAAUGAGUUUAGAUGUUAUUACUGUGAUAUUUAAACAUCUCCUUUAACAAAGACAACAAGUAAUAUUAUAUACAGCUUUGGAGAACCAACUCCAAAAGAAAAUGGUUCCUGAUGAAUUAUUACCAUCAGCAACAACCACUGAAAGGAAAGCAAUAGACAGAAGUAACAGCAUCUCCAAAGUGACUUCAGCUUUUCAUCCAUACAAAAUAGUUAAUCUUCAUUUGCUUAUUUUCUUCCCAAAAAUAUCUAUGGUUACCAGCUAACAGUUUGAUUCAUGAGCUUAAUACCAUAAACAAACUUGAACAACUCACCCUGCAGACUUUGCUGGAAAUGAGCUAAUAUGCACCUGCUGAAGAUUCAACCCACAAGGAGGUAGUCUCCUUGGAAACUGCUCCUGAUGAUCUGAAAUACAAUGGAAAUGGUCACUAAGAAAGCUUACAUUAAUAGAGGUGCUGCAAGAGGUAGCUUAAGACCUGGAUUUUCCAACACAAAAAAAAAAAAGAAAAAUAAACCAUUCAAAGAAGGAACA
RNAcentral lists this long non-coding RNA (598 nucleotides) under Phasianus colchicus (ring-necked pheasant). RNAcentral describes it as "lncRNA (ENSPCLG00000022020.1)". Lineage: Eukaryota; Metazoa; Chordata; Aves; Galliformes; Phasianidae. The record is from RNAcentral.